GCCGGUGUGGUGGUGGAUACCUGUAAUCCCAACUACUUGUGAGGCUGAGGCAGGAGGAUUGCAAGUUUGAGGCCAGCCUGGGCAAUUUAGCAAGACCUUGUUUCAA
Molecule: small RNA, 106 nt
Filed under: Marmota monax (woodchuck)
Lineage: Eukaryota; Metazoa; Chordata; Mammalia; Rodentia; Sciuridae
Source: RNAcentral